AUUAGACGAAUCAUCUGGAAAGAUGAAUCAAAGAAGGUAAUAAUCCUGUAGUCGAAAAUGUUGUCUCUCUUGAGUGGAUCCUGAGUACGACGGAGCACGUGAAAUUCCGUCGGAAUCUGGGAGGACCAUCUCCUAAGGCUAAAUACUCUCUAGUGACCGAUAGUGAACCAGUACCGUGAGGGAAAGGUGAAAAGCACCCCGGAAGGGGAGUGAAAUAGAACCUGAAACCGUGUGCUUACAAGUAGUCAGAGCCCGUUAAUGGGUGAUGGCGUGCCUUUUGUAGAAUGAACCGGCGAGUUACGAUUUGAUGCAAGGUUAAGCAGUAAAUGUGGAGCCGUAGCGAAAGCGAGUCUGAAUAGGGCGUUUAGUAUUUGGUCGUAGACCCGAAACCAGGUGAUCUACCCUUGGUCAGGUUGAAGUUCAGGUAACACUGAAUGGAGGACCGAACCGACUUACGUUGAAAAGUGAGCGGAUGAACUGAGGGUAGCGGAGAAAUUCCAAUCGAACCUGGAGAUAGCUGGUUCUCUCCGAAAUAGCUUUAGGGCUAGCCUCAAGUGAUGAUUAUUGGAGGUAGAGCACUGUUUGGACGAGGGGCCCCUCUCGGGUUACCGAAUUCAGACAAACUCCGAAUGCCAAUUAAUUUAACUUGGGAGUCAGAACAUGGGUGAUAAGGUCCGUGUUCGAAAGGGAAACAGCCCAGACCACCAGCUAAGGUCCCAAAAUAUAUGUUAAGUGGAAAAGGAUGUGGCGUUGCCCAGACAACUAGGAUGUUGGCUUAGAAGCAGCCAUCAUUUAAAGAGUGCGUAAUAGCUCACUAGUCGAGUGACACUGCGCCGAAAAUGUACCGGGGCUAAACAUAUUACCGAAGCUG
Molecule: ribosomal RNA, 871 nt
Filed under: Staphylococcus aureus
Lineage: Bacteria; Bacillati; Bacillota; Bacilli; Caryophanales; Staphylococcaceae
Description: partial 23S ribosomal RNA
Rfam family: Bacterial large subunit ribosomal RNA
Source: RNAcentral